This 108-nucleotide ribosomal RNA is filed under the name Citrobacter koseri. Its description in RNAcentral is "partial 23S ribosomal RNA". It matches the Rfam family "Bacterial large subunit ribosomal RNA", at positions 2819 to 2925 of the family's 2925-position model. Lineage: Bacteria; Pseudomonadati; Pseudomonadota; Gammaproteobacteria; Enterobacterales; Enterobacteriaceae. The record is from RNAcentral. RNAcentral also lists the same sequence under 3 other names.
UUGAGAGUCCUGAAGGAACGUUGAAGACGACGACGUUGAUAGGCCGGGUGUGUAAGCGCAGCGAUGCGUUGAGCUAACCGGUACUAAUGAACCGUGAGGCUUAACCUU